ACACGUAGGGGCCUGACGUUGUUCGGAAUCAUUGGGCGUAAAGGGCGCGUAGGCGGCCCGGUAAGUCUGGAGUGAAAGUCCUGUUUUUAAGAUGGGAAUUGCUUUGGAUACUGUCGGGCUUGAGUGCAGGAGAGGUAAGUGGAAUUCCCAGUGUAGCGGUGAAAUGCGUAGAGAUCGGGAGGAACACCAGUGGCGAAGGCGGGUAACUGGACUGCAACUGACGCUGAGGCGCGAAAGUGUGGGGAGCAAACGGGAUUAGAUACCCUGGUAGUCCACACUGUAAACGAUGAAUGCUAGGUGUAAGAGGUAUCGACCCCUUUUGUGCCGGAGUUAACACAAUAAGCAUUCCGCCUGGGGAGUACGGCCGCAAGGUUGAAACUCAAAUUAAUUGACGGGG
This 397-nucleotide ribosomal RNA is filed under the name uncultured bacterium. Its description in RNAcentral is "partial 16S ribosomal RNA". It matches the Rfam family "Bacterial small subunit ribosomal RNA", at positions 523 to 918 of the family's 1533-position model. The record is from RNAcentral.